Molecule: ribosomal RNA, 440 nt
Filed under: uncultured bacterium
Lineage: Bacteria
Description: partial 16S ribosomal RNA
Rfam family: Bacterial small subunit ribosomal RNA
Source: RNAcentral
CCUACGGGUGACAGCAGUAGGGAAUAUUGCUCAAUGGGGGAAACCCUGAAGCAGCAACGCCGCGUGGAGGAUGAAGGUUUUCGGAUUGUAAACCCCUUUUGUUAGAGAAGAAAAUGACGGUAUCUAACGAAUAAGCACCGGCUAACUCCGUGCCAGCAGCCGCGGUAAUACGGAGGGGGCAAGCGUUACUCGGAUUUACUGGGCGUAAAGAGCGCGUAGGCGGGAUAGCAAGUCAGAUGUGAAAUCCUAUGGCUUAACCAUAGAACUGCAUUUGAAACUGUUAGUCUAGAGUAUGGGAGAGGUAGGUGGAAUUCGUGGUGUAGGGGUAAAAUGCGUAGAGAUUAAGAGGAAUACCAGUGGCGAAGGCGGCCUGCUGGAAGAUAACUGACGUUGAGGCUCGAAAGCGUGGGGAGCAAACAGGAUUAGAUACCCCUGGAGUC